AUUAUCCAUGGAUAAUGUAAAGCUGUGCUCACAUAAGAUGCGAGAAAGGGAGAAAAUUUGAGAGGAAGAACGUAGGUAGAAACAAAAAAAUUUCAAACUGCAUGCAUGUGUGUGUAUUUCCACAAUUCCACAUUCUUGGUUUUAUUGAGUCAUACAAGUCAAAAGAAGCAAGGAAACAAAAAGACAUUCAAUAACAAAAAAAUUUUAGGAGCCUGACGACACUAAAUGAAGCACAAAAGUUGUCUCCAACUUCAAAAGUGUUUCCUGAAAAACUCUUAGUCCUGUUUAAAGCGGAAAUGAACAUGCAUAGAGAGUCCAGGACAUGAUGUUUCAAAAACCAUAAGCAAGUGGAAUGCAAAGCAAAGUCUGAAUAAAGGGUGAAGUAUCUUGUGAAUUGAUAGUAGCAGGACAUGAGGACAUUCGAAACACUAUGAAAGACUUGGACAUAAAAAAUAUUAUUUAGUCACUCUGCCAACUCCAGUGUAUUCAUGCAAAUACAAAUAUAACAGUUUGCUUACAGGAACACAUGAAUGUUAGCUACCACUCAGUGAUUUUGACAGCCAAGCUCAAUGCAACAAGGAAGGUGACAAAGCUGAAAGCAACUAAACUUUCUAGCUGAAAGGAUUUCUGCCAGAUGGCGCAUUGCUCUGAAAAUGAACAUUUCUAAAAGUUUUUAACUGAUGUAAUCUCCUAGGUGCAGAGAAACCAUGCAAAAAGUGUAUUUCUCAAGUAUUUUCCAACCAUAUGUAGGUGAAUUCCAUAA
This is a long non-coding RNA of Gossypium raimondii (Peruvian cotton), 763 nucleotides long. RefSeq lists it as uncharacterized. NCBI's taxonomy places the organism in Eukaryota, Viridiplantae, Streptophyta, Magnoliopsida, Malvales, Malvaceae. The transcript has 2 exons. The record is from RefSeq and is a predicted model, not a curated record.